RNAcentral lists this long non-coding RNA (595 nucleotides) under Olea europaea (common olive). RNAcentral describes it as "long non-coding RNA (OEUR_LNC012759)". The record is from RNAcentral. Lineage: Eukaryota; Viridiplantae; Streptophyta; Magnoliopsida; Lamiales; Oleaceae.
UGAAGAAUAAGCUCGUGGCGAGACAGAGUGUUAGACUCCAGUGACGAGUUGAUCUUCAUGCGGAACAUCAUCCGAAUCCAGUCGGUGCUAUUACACUUGUAACUCGACAGCUUUCACUCCCCAGGGCUGAAACUCACCUUCGAUCUAUACACAAAUAUAUGUUAAUUACACACAUAUAUCAAAUAAAUAGCAUAAUAUAAAGAAGAGUUGAAACCCUGUAUUUAAGAAUGAGGCUACCGGUGUGGAUUUUCCUCUUUCUACGAGUAACGUACUGUAUGAGACGGUUCGUCAAAUAAACCUAUUCGUUCUUAAUAUUUUUAUUGGGUUAUUAGCACAAAACUUCAACUUCAUUGUCCAAAACAUCUCAACAUUUUAAUUUUUUUACAUUUUCACCCAUAUUUUAACCUUUUAUUACGAAAAUGAUAAUAUUCAUCAAUUUUCAUUCAAUUUCUCAAUAAAAGUCCCUCCUAUUUUAUAAGACAAAAAGAUAAUAAAAUAAAAGUAAAAAAUUAAUUACAAUUUAUAUACUCUCAAAUUCUUUUAAAAAAAUGCAAAUGAGUCCCCAAAUAAAUUAUUAAUAAAUUAAAAAUAGAAA